This 404-nucleotide ribosomal RNA is filed under the name uncultured bacterium. RNAcentral describes it as "bacterial SSU rRNA". It matches the Rfam family "Bacterial small subunit ribosomal RNA", at positions 28 to 425 of the family's 1533-position model. The record is from RNAcentral.
GAUGAACGCUGGCGGCGUGCCUAAUACAUGCAAGUCGAACGAGGUGCUUUUGUAGCAAUACGAGAGUAUCCUAGUGGCGAACGGGUGAGUAACGCGUUGGUGACCUACCCCAAAGUGUGGGAUAACAGUCCGAAAGGAUUGCUAAUACCGCAUGUGGUCUUCGGAUUUAGAAACUGAUGACUAAAGGAGCAAUUCGCUUUGGGAGGGACCUGCGUCCCAUCAGCUAGUUGGUGAGGUAAUGGCUCACCAAGGCUACGACGGGUAGGGGACCUGAGAGGGUGACCCCCCACAAUGGAACUGAAACACGGUCCAUACACCUACGGGUGGCAGCAGUAGGGAAUAUUGCACAAUGGGCGAAAGACCUGAUGCAGCAAACGCCGCGUGUGCGAUGAAGGCCUCGGUCG